AGUAGAUUCGUGUGUGUCUGCGCGUGCGUGCGUGUGUGUGUGUACGCAUGGACAGUGAGAGGGGAGAUUACGUGAACAUGUGGGAUGUUUGCCCGGGUUAUGGGAGCAGUUCUUAGCAGUCCACCAAGAAUUCCCGGAAUCAGAGUCAGUCCAGCCGCUUUCUUCCAGCUCGCCUACCUCAGUCCACAGGACCGCAAGCCACAUCAGCUGACAUUCCUCCCAGCUUAUAAACCAGCUUCAACUUCUCACCUCCCUGGGCACCCAGGACACCCACCACCUACAGUGAGCUCUUUCUAACUCUUUUGGUGGAUAUGAACGAUUCCAGUUGCCUUCUAUGGGCCUCCCUAAACUCCGGAGACUGGGAAGCAAACUCUUCGUGUCUGGGGUUCCCCUGUGGCUGAAGUCCCCAGUGUGACUCAGGGCCUGUCAAUCAAAGUCAGAAGUGAUACCAAGUCCGAGCACCCGAUUCUGCCACUUGUGCCAGCAAGCCUAACAGUGACAAAGCUCUCAGGGAUUGACGGAUUGCUUUGGAGGGUAAAAGGCAAGAAUGUGGCAUCUGGCUUGCUGAUUCAGCUUGUAGCUCACACAGAGUGGCUCUAGAGUGGGAAGCGGUAGUGAGAGUUUUCUGAUAAUACAGCCGCCUACUGUUAGCAGUGGCUCUGGAACUGGUACAGAAGCGAAGCACCAGGUACCUGGUUGUAGAAGAGACCGCAGCUCCCACGGUGGCCUGUUCUUCAGUGUUGCUCCGACAGUAUUUCUUAAAAAUCCAGUAUCAUCUGUUUCUUUAGUUUCCCCAAUGAUUCUACACACCUUCUGAAUCCUUUAAUAAAUAUCUUUCUGCUUGA
Molecule: long non-coding RNA, 845 nt
Organism: Felis catus (domestic cat)
Lineage: Eukaryota; Metazoa; Chordata; Mammalia; Carnivora; Felidae
Exons: 3
Source: RefSeq, a predicted model, not a curated record